UACGGAGGGUGCAAGCGUUAUCCGGAUUCACUGGGUUUAAAGGGUGCGUAGGUGGGCAGGUAAGUCAGUGGUGAAAUCUCCGGGCUUAACCCGGAAACUGCCGUUGAUACUAUCUGUCUUGAAUAUCGUGGAGAUGAGCGGAAUAUGUCAUGUAGCGGUGAAAUGCUUAGAUAUGACAUAGAACACCGAUUGCGAAGGCAGCUCGUUACACGAUUAUUGACACUGAGGCACGAAAGCGUGGGGAUCAAACAGG
This 253-nucleotide ribosomal RNA is filed under the name uncultured bacterium. RNAcentral describes it as "partial 16S ribosomal RNA". It matches the Rfam family "Bacterial small subunit ribosomal RNA", at positions 524 to 776 of the family's 1533-position model. The record is from RNAcentral.